This 450-nucleotide ribosomal RNA is filed under the name uncultured bacterium. RNAcentral's name for it is "bacterial SSU rRNA". It matches the Rfam family "Bacterial small subunit ribosomal RNA", at positions 354 to 796 of the family's 1533-position model. The record is from RNAcentral.
GUGGGGAAUAUUGGACAAUGGGCGAAAGCCUGAUCCAGCCAUGCCGCGUGUGUGAAGAAGGUCUUCGGAUUGUAAAGCACUUUAAGUUGGGAGGAAGGGUAGUAACCUAAUACGUUGCUACUUUGACGUUACCGACAGAAUAAGCACCGGCUAACUUCGUGCCAGCAGCCGCGGUAAUACGAAGGGUGCAAGCGUUAAUCGGAAUUACUGGGCGUAAAGCGCGCGUAGGUGGUUCAGUAAGUUGGAAGUGAAAUCCCCGGGCUCAACCUGGGAACUGCUUUCAAAACUGCUGAGCUAGAGUACGGUAGAGGGUGGUGGAAUUUCCUGUGUAGCGGUGAAAUGCGUAGAUAUAGGAAGGAACACCAGUGGCGAAGGCGACCACCUGGACUGAUACUGACACUGAGGUGCGAAAGCGUGGGGAGCAAACAGGAUUAGAUACCCCAGUAGUCC